UCACUUCGUGUCUAGUUAAUAUGACUUUUAAUUUGUUUCCCUCAUCCAUUCUUCACACUGCUUAAGCUGGAGGCUUAAUAUUUCAUUUUGUAAGUACAGCAGGAGAUGCAGAAGAGAUGAGCUCUCUUGGGCUGGUAUCUUGCCUAUCCACGCAAUUUUUAUUGCUUUUUAAACAGGCUAUUGAGGAGCAGAUUCCAAGCACAGGGCCCUCCUGCCUGGAAACAAAGCAUGCUGCUGAUCUCUUUCAGUCAGGUGUGUGAGCAAAAUGUUGAUGAGGGUGACAGGUUGCCUGAAGCUGAUAGCUCAGUGUUACUGUGAGGUAGUAAUGAUCAGCCAGCAGUAUCCGCUGGGUUGGUUUGGCAGGACUUCCAGGUGUGCUUGGUAGGGCUGUUUGUCAUUCUUGAUGGCGCUGUUGGUGUACUCCUUCUGUACCUAUUCCUUUGCUACUUAUCUCACAGUACAAACUCUCAGCAGGCAAGAGCCAGCAUCCUCAUUAAACUAUCAGGUAGUGCUCUCUACUGCUGCUAGGCAUCAUCCACUUCUGUUGAAUAAUUAAUCUGUGAGGAAGAAGUUAGUAAGAGCAAUUUGUACCAAACUGACCAACUCCCUGAGUGUACUCUGAAACAAAGAAAAUACACAAGCAGACACAAACUGAACAUUAAAAAAGGCAGCCACAGGAUUUGCCAGUUUUUGAGAGCCUACAAAAAUGGGAUAUCAGCUCAAGCAUCAGCCACAGCAAUAAAAGCCAUUUAACUUGGAAGACUUUUAACUUCAUCCGCUCCAAGAACUCCACAAGAUUCUCUGCACCUUCUGGCUCAUUCUACAGAGCUGAAACCUCUGGACCAUAGCAACGAGGAGCAGGAGAUUCUUCUGGAGGAAGAAGCAGAGUGCACUGCAUUGAGCAGAUCCACAGCCUGCCUAGCAGGAAGAGGAGAAGGAGCCCAGUGACAGGCGGCCUCCUAGGACCUGCAAGUGCUCCCCAGCAGCUGCAAGCCCAUCACAGGCUAUCUACAAGAGACACAAAUACAGGUCCCUGGUGCUUGGUGGAUGAAAAAGAGAAAAAAUAACACUUAGGGGACUAUUUUUUUUUCCCACAUGGUGUAAAUAUAGGGUUAAGGAAGAUGACAUGUCUAUCUGCCAUGGAUUGUCAAAGCCCAGGAAGAAACAGAAAACAAAAAGCCCAAUGAAAUAAGGAAUACCAAAAGGAAGAAAACAAGUGAUGGUAGAAACACAGUGACCACAAUGAAUCACCACAUUUCCAACUGUGAUAGAGACUAUUUGCAGUCUACACACAAAGCUCCUCACAAACAGUGACCUCUACUCGUGGAAAAUAUCAAACCAGAGCAUUUCACCCACCUGACUCAUGCUUCAUUGCUUCAGCACCAGCUUCCCACUGCUGCUUCCCCCCUGGCGCUCACACAAUCCUCACUGCCAGUGACUGCCUGAGCUAAACCACUUGAACUCACAGCUGCCAGCUCUGGGCCCCUCAGUCAUCACCCAGCCACAUCCUUAUGACGGUCUGCAAAGUCCUCACCUGCAGCUCCUGUCACUCCCCUGUACAGGCAGCAGUAACAGCUGAGAACCAAGUUGGCCAAAGGGAUUCAAAGCCAUGUUCUCAUCCCACUUCCAACGCUGCUGUAAACUUGUCAGUACAGUAUUCCUGGACUGGCUGUUUCAGAUGUGAUCUGGAAUUCAAUGUUCUUUCUGCCUUCCUUGCCCUGGGCUACUUUGAGGGCAGCUAGUGCCACCAAUUAGUCUCCUGGUGGGAAGGUCACUAUGGAGCCAGGGUCUAAAGUGUCCUGUUAUUUCAGAGACUGGCUUUUUGGUGGCUGUAAGAGAAGGGAUUCAAGAUGCUAAGCCUGUCUCUGCAUAUUUUUGACAUCUUACUAAAUUGCCAGCUUGACAGAGGAGAAAAGUCAUUUAUAUAACAUUAUGCUAACAUAAUGCAUUUCUUAGUGUUGCUGGUAAGCCCUCCAUACUAAGUGAGCCUUUUAACAUCAGUGUCAUGAAGAGUAUGCACAUUUCCUUUGGCAAUAAAACAGCAUUGUUUUAUUGCUUUUCACUAGUUUACAACACAACUUUUCACUAGUUUCACUCGUUUACUGAGAAAUAGUAUACUGAGAAAGCUUGAAUAAUUCUCAGUAGUUCCAGAAAUGACAGGACAGCAGUUACUUUGAGGAAAUAUUCUCCAUGCUUUUUACUAUCCCUGAUUAAAACAACAUGAUGGAUCAUUGUCAUCACCAGGAGAAAAAGGUUGGAACUUAAAUGUAGGUUAACUUUUGCAGUAAUCUAUGGCAGAUUGGAUGGCCAAGACACUUGAGUGAUUUGCUUUGUGCCUAUUUAUUGCCAUCAGGCUGCUGAGCAUGGGCCACAGGUUGCACAGGGGAACACUUCAGCAGUUCCUGGCAAUUCCACUGAUACUUUUGAACUUCCUAGAUGCAUGGUCACUGCAUGUACAUUAAAAAUCUCCAUAGGAAUUGAGACAUAGGUGUAAUCCCAGCAAUUCCAGUGUAACACUACUGGAAUUUUCUAGAGACUAGGAAUUACAGAGUGGGUUGUAACAAGCUGAGGUAUUUCUUUUACUCAGUCUUGUUCCAACAAGAUCACUAAUCUUGGGUAUGCUAAACAUUUUGCCUUGGGAAAAAGGGACAGCACAGGAACGCAAAUCAGAAUAUAUCUGGGCUUGCUGCUUUCUCCAUCCUCCUCCUCUCUAAAUAAAAGUAAAAUGUUAUUCAUUAAAAAUUUGUCCUACUUCAGCAUGGUCAUUGCUAAAGCAGUAACAUGCUUCGCUGGCUGCUCCCACCCUUUUCCCACAACAGGGGCAGUUGCUUUUCAACAAGCUACUCGGGACAAAAGAAGAAAGCACUUUUGGAUAGCAGUGAUUGUGUCUCAGUUAAAACAGGAUAAUUUUGAGACUUACAAAAUGUUGGCUUAUAUAAAGCUAUUUCAGAUGCUAAAAGUCAUUCAUAGAUUUGGGAAAAUCUAUGUAAUGCAAUUUUGGAGCUAGACCUGAGCACAGAAAAAUAUGGUUGCAGUAAUCAGUCUUCACUGAGAUGCUCCUAAGCUGUUUUGUUUUUCUUUAAUUUGUGUAUUACUAUAAUGAGCAAAGAAGAAAAAUCUCAACACCUUAAACACCAAUCUGAGUUUUCACAUGGGAAAACAGAGGCUUUCUCUUCUGUUUUACAUUCAAGCUAACCAAAGACAUAAGGAAAUCUAUAUACCCUGUGGCAUCUCCAAAUGAAGUUUUGCUAUUGUUUUUUCACAUUGGUAUUUUCCUAUCUGCCCAAAUCCCUUAGUUGAACAAAUCAGCUCAGUGCAUUAAGCAUGGUGCUAAUAACACCAAGGUUGUGGGUUUGGUCCCUGUACAGGCCAUUCACUAAAGAGUUGGACUUUUUCAUCCUUUUGUGUCUGUUUCAACUCAGAACAUUCUGUGGUUGAGAAACUCAUGAGCAUCCGUUUGGCCAUGUGAACCAUCUUUCUGACAAGCAGCUGAAUAGAUUUGUUACUUCUCAAGUUUCCAAGUUCAUUUUUAAAACUGGCAGCAAAGUAUGUAAAUGGAAUGUGUCUAGAAAGAACACACUUUACCCAAAAUCAUGUUUUGGAUUUUUUUCUUCCAGUAAAGCUAUUUUUGACAUAUGUAGCUCCGUGUCUGGAAGUAAAUGCUGUCACUUCCUCUGAGAGUUUUUUCUUUGUGAUUUAAGUAUGACAUGCUCAGUAGCAAUCGGCUCCAAAAUAACUACAGUACAGGUAUUUGUCUGAGAUUGCUGGCAUCAUUAAAAGUGUGUUGUUUUAAGGGUGUCUGUAGUUUGUGUGGUAGUAAUUGGCUUGCUAGAGAAAUCCAUGUAGAGACCAGGACAUCCAAUUAGGCGUACAGUUUUCAGUGUCAGUUCUUGACCUGGGUCUUAAAACUCAACUGGAAAAACCAAAAGUUAAUUCUCGCUAAGCAAGAAUCCCUGCUUAGCCUCUGUAGCAAAUCUGAUCCUUAGACAUAGCAAAACAAAUUAGGUACUAGAGAAGAGCAAACAAGCAGCUUGUCUUGACUUUUCUGUUUUAGUUGAAAUGAUGCAAGAAGUGGGAAGUGCCAUCUGCUUUAGAUUCAUGUAAUACUCUCUGGCUCUGUUGUCUGUGUUAUUAAUUUUGUACCAUUCUUCAUAAUAAGUUUGUAAGGUUGGCCAAGGUUAAGUUCUAAUUGCAUCAGCAAUUGCUUGACUCAUGGCUCAGUGACACAUGCCUGUAUGUUUGUCAGUGAAUCUCAGCUUGCUAAAUCCUUCUUUGUGAGGACAGAAACAUUCAUGGACAUCAGGGACAGUGAUUGUGUGCUUUCACUGACAUAUGAAACAGUUGACUAUUUUGAAAAUAAUGUUUUAAGUUCAACCAUUACAUAUUUAAAACCAAAAUCACAUUAAAAAAUGCAGUUAAACUUUUUUUGAUGGGGAGAGGAAAAAGAAAAUCUUUCAUGAGUACAGAGCUCAGUGCUGAUAUCCCUAGAAACCUUAAAAAUGUGGUGCUAUGAGUUAUAAUGGCAUAAGUGCCUUGAGAGUGCCCUGCCAAUAAACUAUGACUCUUUUCUUAAAAGUGAGAGUAGUUCAGCCUCUGACCCUCUGAUUCUGUGAAUUUUUCUGUAAUAGUAAAUCAACCAAAAAAACUACCCACAAUGGCCUUUAGAGACAAAAAGGUUACUGAUUCCACAAGGACUUACCAUGCAAAAAACCCUUCAUAGCUGACAGUUUUCAAAACACCAAGUGAAGAUUGGCACAUGGCUAAUCAUGCAAAAAUUCAAAGAGGCUGUGCUUGAUGUUUGAACUGCAACAAGCACCUGAGCACUUAAGGGACUAAACUGCCUUCUUACAACUGAAGAAAAGUUGGAGUCCUGGCUUAAAAUUCUUCCCUAAACCUCUUCAAAGGAAACAAGGCUGGGAGUGUGUCAGGAAGAUGGCUAAGCAACUUGGGAUUCACUGAGUCAAUUUGGAGACUGAGUCUAACAGUUAUAGUUCAGGUGAAAGACAUAUAUAUAGGGAACAGCAUAGGGAAAGGAGGAGUUUUAAACAUUUUUAGCAGCUUUUGGGCAGUCCUGGUUAUCUGAAAUGAGGCUUGUGUUUGUUCACAGUGCUGUCAUACCACCUUCUUUUAUUUUACUAUCUUGUUUACACUGUCUUAUUUGAACUCAAAUAGUAUUUUCGGUUCUGUUAAUCAUUUAACUGCUGUAUCUCUAAGCCAUCACAAAACAAUGACAACCUAAACUCCUCUUUAAUUGCUUCCAAAUAUUGUUUACAAGUUAUGAAAGGCAGUUUUAGGCUAAGAGGAUUGAAUUUGAUGACUAGUGUUAGCAUUUGUCAAUCAAGUUAUGAGACCUGCAUGCAUGAAAAGGAUCUCUCCUGAAAUACUCUAUAUGAAGAUUUGUACUAAGGUAAUAGGGUUGUUAUAAAUGGAAAAUUAGAUAGAUGUUAUCAUUUGAAAUAGUUAACUUAGAAAAUACACAGGUAGGAGAGAAGUGAAAUAAGGCUCCCCAGACACAAAUAAUUCUGCCAUUAUUUGCCUUGGGGGAGAUUGGCCUUACAGCCUAAUAAUUCUUUUAACAAUUAUUGCAAGUGUAUAGAGGAAAUCAAGUAAUGAUGUGCAGGUCUAGAA
Molecule: long non-coding RNA, 5628 nt
Organism: Melospiza melodia melodia
Lineage: Eukaryota; Metazoa; Chordata; Aves; Passeriformes; Passerellidae
Exons: 2
Source: RefSeq, a predicted model, not a curated record